CCGGCAAUAGCUCAGUUGGUAGAGCGGGAGACUGUAGUACGACUGUUAUCUCUAGGUCGCUAGUUCGAAUCUGGCUUGCCGGA
Molecule: non-coding RNA, 83 nt
Organism: Glomus cerebriforme
Lineage: Eukaryota; Fungi; Glomeromycota; Glomeromycetes; Glomerales; Glomeraceae
Source: the annotation of a GenBank genome assembly